AGUGAACGCUGGCGGUAGGCCUAACACAUGCAAGUCGAACGGCAGCACAGUAAGAGCUUGCUCUUACGGGUGGCGAGUGGCGGACGGGUGAGGAAUACAUCGGAAUCUACUUUUUCGUGGGGGAUAACGUAGGGAAACUUACGCUAAUACCGCAUACGACCUACGGGUGAAAGCAGGGGAUCUUCGGACCUUGCGCGAUUGAAUGAGCCGAUGUCGGAUUAGCUAGUUGGCGGGGUAAAGGCCCACCAAGGCGACGAUCCGUAGCUGGUCUGAGAGGAUGAUCAGACACACUGGAACUGAGACACGGUCCAGACUCCUACGGGAGGCAGCAGUGGGGAAUAUUGGACAAUGGGCGCAAGCCUGAUCCAGCCAUACCGCGUGGGUGAAGAAGGCCUUCGGGUUGUAAAGCCCUUUUGUUGGGAAAGAAAAGCAGAAGGUUAAUACCCCGCUGUUCUGACGGUACCAAAAGAAUAAGCACCGGCUAACUUCGUG
This 492-nucleotide ribosomal RNA is filed under the name uncultured bacterium. RNAcentral's name for it is "partial 16S ribosomal RNA". It matches the Rfam family "Bacterial small subunit ribosomal RNA", at positions 29 to 507 of the family's 1533-position model. The record is from RNAcentral.